GAGCACGUAGGUGGGUUUGUAAGUCAGAUGUGAAAGCCUCCUGUUCAACGGGAGAAUUGCAUCUGAAACUGCAGAUCUUGAGUGUAGGAGGGGAGAAUGGAACUUCUGGUGGAGCGGUGAAAUGCGUAGAUAUCAGAAGGAACGCCGGCGGCGAAAGCGAUUCUCUGGCCUAUUACUGACACUCAGUGUGCGAAAGCUAGGGGAGCAAACGGGAUUAGAUACCCCGGUAGUCCUAGCCGUAAACGAUGGGCACUAAGUAGAGGGAAUUACCGAUAUUCUCUCUGCCGUAGCUAACGCAUUAAGUGCCCCGCCUGGGGAGUACGGCCGCAAGGCUAAAACUCAAAAGAAUUGACGGGGGCUCGCACAAGCGGUGGAGCAUGUGGCUUAAUUCGAUGCAACGCGAAGAACCUUACCGGGGCUUGACAUGGUAGAAGUAGGAACCCGAAAGGGUAACGAACGGUAUCCAGUCCGUAGCUAUUACAGGUGUUGCAUGGCUGUCGUCAGCUCGUGUCGUGAGACGUUGGGUUAAGUCCCCUAACGAGCGAAACCCUUGUUUUUAGUUGCCAGCGGGUUAUGUCGGGCACUCUAGAAAGACUGCCGUCGUCAAGACGGAGGAAGGUGGGGAUGACGUCAAGUCAUCAUGGCCCUUAUGCCCCGGGCUGCACACGUGCUACAAUGGUCGGUACAAACGGAAGCGAAGCCGAGAGGUGAAGCGAAUCC
Molecule: ribosomal RNA, 720 nt
Filed under: uncultured anaerobic ammonium-oxidizing bacterium
Lineage: Bacteria
Description: bacterial SSU rRNA
Rfam family: Bacterial small subunit ribosomal RNA
Source: RNAcentral